UACGAAGGGGGCUAGCGUUGCUCGGAAUUACUGGGCGUAAAGCGCACGUAGGCGGCGCAGCAAGUCAGGGGUGAAAUCCCGGAGCUCAACUCCGGAACUGCCUUUGAAACUGCAGUGCUAGAAUUCUGGAGAGGCGAGUGGAAUUCCGAGUGUAGAGGUGAAAUUCGUAGAUAUUCGGAAGAACACCAGUGGCGAAGGCGACUCGCUGGACAGACAUUGACGCUGAGGUGCGAAAGCGUGGGGAGCAAACAGG
RNAcentral lists this ribosomal RNA (253 nucleotides) under uncultured bacterium. Its description in RNAcentral is "partial 16S ribosomal RNA". It matches the Rfam family "Bacterial small subunit ribosomal RNA", at positions 524 to 776 of the family's 1533-position model. The record is from RNAcentral.